UUCAUUGUAUAGCUUGUCAUCCCCUGAGGUCUAACCACAGUUUCCUUAAGCUUGCAGAAAAAACUUAUUUGAAAGCAAUAGUUUAAGAAGUUUUAGAAACAAAUCCAUUCUUUCUUAAAAUCCAAUGUUUUCAUUACCAAUUUUUAGCAGGAAAAAAAUAAGAAAAUUCACAUUUUUUUUCAGUGUCAAAAUUCAUUCAACAAACAUUUUCUGAAUAUAGGGUACAAGCCAGGCACUGAGCUGGGCAUUGAGGAUGAAGAGAUGAAACACAAUUCUAGCAUCUAAAUAGACCUUUGUUGGUGAGCGGCCUUGGGAAAGUCAUUUGCACCUCUCUGAGUCCCUGUGAAAUUAUGAAGGAAAAAUGUGCUAACAAUGUGAGAACUGAUGAUUAUUGUCAUAUGGACUCUUCAUUUUACACUAAAGGAAGUUGAGUUCCAGAGUGGGAUGUCAGACUCAAGGCCCAGACUUCACUUCUGGUCUCCUGACUUCCAAGUGAACAGUGUUACAGCUUCCCUGACUGCAGUUAUAAGAGAAGACAGGGAGGAGAUAAAGAUGAGAGUGACUCGGGAAGAGCAGGGAUGGAGGAGACAACCUGAGUCUUCUGAUCCAAAGGAGUGUGAAGAUGGAGUGACAUUGAGAGAACUGCAGAAGAAAGGGACUUGGCGUUUAUGGAGCAUACACCUGUACCAUCAUAUCAAAAUGCAACACAGCUAUUGCCUCUUGGAACAUUAUAAUAGAAUGGGGAAAUCAAGUAUAUAAAGAGUCGUGUGAAAUCGGCAGAACAAGCAUCAAUUUACAGAGGAGGAAACUGAGGUCCAGAGAGAUCAAUUAAACUGUCUAAAGUCACAUGGCCUGACAUAAAAGGAGUGGAGAGUCAAACUCAGGUCUAUGUACCUGGGGUGGUGGACUUCAUCUUUCUGAUCCUGCUUCCUCAUCUGUGAAGUGGGCAAACCAAUCAUUUUUACCCCAGAGAGCUGUGAAGAACCUGUAUCAGUUAUAUAGAAAGUUAAAGAACUUAUCGCAGUGCCUGGUAGGUGGGGACCUCUCAAUAAACAGCAGCUAUAACUAAGAUCCCAACCAAGGUCUCUUUCUACUAUAACCAGUGUCUGAGAGGAGGGCUUGGAGCUCACAUACAAGGUCUAUACAAAUAGACCUGAGAGGGUCUAUUUGCAGGCAGGUCGAGGUGCCCGGUUUACCUGAGCUGCCCCCCAAGCUGAGGUUCUGUGUCCCAUUCCCUCCCUGCCAGGCAUCAGCCUCUGUGUGGGAUGCAUUCUCAGGCAGGCUGUCUGAGGCAGCAGCUGCAGGAGGCAUA
This is a long non-coding RNA of Symphalangus syndactylus (siamang), 1312 nucleotides long. RefSeq lists it as uncharacterized. NCBI's taxonomy places the organism in Eukaryota, Metazoa, Chordata, Mammalia, Primates, Hylobatidae. The record is from RefSeq and is a predicted model, not a curated record.